CACCUAAGGCGAUGGGCGGACUGAAUGCGAAUGUGCAAUCGCUCAAAUCCUGUUGAGAAAUGCCUUUCAGAU
Molecule: small nucleolar RNA, 72 nt
Filed under: Drosophila willistoni
Lineage: Eukaryota; Metazoa; Arthropoda; Insecta; Diptera; Drosophilidae
Description: snoRNA:GK26494
Source: RNAcentral